Molecule: ribosomal RNA, 861 nt
Filed under: Triticum aestivum (bread wheat)
Lineage: Eukaryota; Viridiplantae; Streptophyta; Magnoliopsida; Poales; Poaceae
Description: partial small subunit ribosomal RNA
Source: RNAcentral
AUGGCUCUCCUCCCCCAAAUCCUCCCCUCCCCGCGCCCCCAUCCCCACCUCGCCGCCUCCCGCUACCCUUUCUCCCCCGCCCACGCAUUCCGCACAGCGCCUCGCCUCCACGCCUCUGGCCACCGCCGCCGAGGCCGCCUCGCCGCGUCAGGGCCCGGGUCGUCGCCGUCGCCGUCGCCCGACCAGUACCCGUCCGAGCCCGACGAUGGCCUUGUGGAGCUCCCUCUGUUCCCUCUCCCACUCGUCCUCUUCCCGGACGCGACCCACGCGCUGCACAUCUUCGAGUUCCGCUACCGUAUCAUGAUGCACACCGUGCUCGACACCGACCUCCGCUUCGGCGUCGUCUUCGCCGGCUCCGACGGCGCCUCCGACGUCGGCUGCGUCGGGGAGGUCGUCAAGCACGAGCGCCUCGCUGACGACCGCUUCUUCCUCAUCUGCAAGGGCCAGGAGCGGUUCCGCGUCGCUCGCAUCGUCCGCAACAAGCCUUACCUCGUCGCCGCCGUGCAGUGGCUCGAGGACCGCCCGCCUGCGGAGACGCCGGCCCCUGGGGAGGACGCCGAGGCGCUCGCCGUCGAGGUCGAGGCGCUCAUGCGCGACGUCAUACGCAUCGCCAACCGCCUCAACGGCAAGCCCGAGAAGGAGGUCGGGGACCUGCGCCGGGGGCUCUUCCCCACCCCAUUCUCCUUCUACGUGGGCAACACCUUCGAGGGCGCGCCCAGGGAGCAGCAGGCGCUGCUCGAGCUUGAGGACACCGCCGCGCGGCUGAGACGGGAGCGGGACACGCUCCGCAACACUCUCAACUACCUUACCGCCGCGUCUGCCGUCAAGGACGUCUUCCCCUCGUCGCCGUCGUCGGGGUGA